RNAcentral lists this transfer RNA (85 nucleotides) under Hydrogenoanaerobacterium saccharovorans. It matches the Rfam family "tRNA". From Rfam's summary of the family: Transfer RNA (tRNA) molecules are approximately 80 nucleotides in length. Their secondary structure includes four short double-helical elements and three loops (D, anti-codon, and T loops). The record is from Rfam by way of RNAcentral. Lineage: Bacteria; Bacillati; Bacillota; Clostridia; Eubacteriales; Oscillospiraceae.
GGAGAGUUGUCCGAGUGGUCGAAGGUGCAACACUCGAAAUGUUGUGUUCCGCAAGGAACCUAGGGUUCGAAUCCCUAACUCUCCG